This is a non-coding RNA of Mycena polygramma, 84 nucleotides long. Lineage: Eukaryota; Fungi; Basidiomycota; Agaricomycetes; Agaricales; Mycenaceae. The record is from the annotation of a GenBank genome assembly.
UCCACUUUGGUUUAGUGGUUCAAGCACCCGUAGUUUGAUUGUUUAGACUCGGGAGAUCGCGGGUUCGAUUCCUGCGAGGUGGCA